This 26-nucleotide non-coding RNA is filed under the name Homo sapiens (human). The record is from RNAcentral. Lineage: Eukaryota; Metazoa; Chordata; Mammalia; Primates; Hominidae.
ACGUGCUGGAAGUGCGAGCGGAUGGU